GCUACGGGAGGCAGCAGUGGGGAAUAUUGGGCAAUGGGCGCAAGCCUGACCCAGCAACGCCGCGUGAAGGAAGAAGGCUUUAGGGUUGUAAACUUCUUUUAAGAGGGAAGAGCAGAAGACGGUACCUCUUGAAUAAGCCACGGCUAACUACGUGCAAGCAGCCGCGGUAAUACGUAGGUGGCAAGCGUUGUCCGGAUUUAAUGGGUGGAAAGGGCGUGCAGCCGGGAAGACAAGUCAGAUGUGAAUUCCCGCGGCUAAAUCGCGGAACUGCAUUUGAAACUGUUUUUCUUGAGUACCGGAGAGGUCAUCGGAAUUCCGUGUGUAGCGGGGAAAUGAGUAGAUAUAAGGAAGAACACCAGGGGCGAAGGCGGAUGACUGGACGGCAACUGACGGUGAGGCGCGAAAGCGUGGGGAGCAAACAGGAUUAGAUACCCGGGUAGUC
This 442-nucleotide ribosomal RNA is filed under the name uncultured bacterium. Its description in RNAcentral is "partial 16S ribosomal RNA". It matches the Rfam family "Bacterial small subunit ribosomal RNA", at positions 338 to 795 of the family's 1533-position model. The record is from RNAcentral.